CCAAGCCUGGAGCCCAUACAAGCUCCAUCAUCUGAGAACUGACAUAAUACUGACGUCCAUCUCACCCCAAAGACAACCGGGGAGCGGGCGUCUCUUCCACUCCAGGGUUGCUGGUCAGUCUGGGCUUUUUCCAGAAGGGGAAAUUCAAGCUGGCCUUGGGUUUUUCCUUUGGGUGUGAGAUUUGAGUGGCAGCGUUGUCCCUACCCCACCUUCGUUCCUCUCCUCUUCCCUAUUCCAAACUUUAUUAUCUAGGUAUGGAUUAAGGAGGAUGCUGCCCUCACCCUCUCUUUUCUCUUUCCAGACUUCUGUGUCCAGUUCCGGAUCUCUGGGAAGACGGGUGGCUGUGAGGAGAAGUUCUUAAAGGACGUCUCAGAGCUCCUGUCCCACCAAGGGGUCUCUCUACAAGUGAAGGAGUUCACGGAGACCUCGAAGGACCCCCUUCUGCUCUUCUGCCCCAUAGCUUCCCGCAAGGGCACUGACAUUGAAAAUGCCCUCGAGGGGAUCAGUGGUGAGCAGAAGGUCCUCCUGGUGGUGAUGCACUAUACACCGAAGGACAACCCAGGAACCCCUCUGGAGGCUAAGCACCGGGUGCCCCAUCCAGCCGUGGUGGGGACCGUGCACACCCGCUACACCCUUAAGGAUGGCUUCUAUGCUUGUGAGAUGAACGCGGUGGCCGUGGCUGACGUGGCAGCUGCCAUCAAGGCCCUCAGCGAGGGUCACUGAGGGGAGGGGACUCUGGUGUUUCGGGUGCCCUUCUUGCGUGAUGU
RNAcentral lists this long non-coding RNA (767 nucleotides) under Pogona vitticeps (central bearded dragon). Its description in RNAcentral is "lncRNA (ENSPVIG00000006679.1)". Lineage: Eukaryota; Metazoa; Chordata; Lepidosauria; Squamata; Agamidae. The record is from RNAcentral.